Molecule: long non-coding RNA, 825 nt
Organism: Alligator mississippiensis (American alligator)
Lineage: Eukaryota; Metazoa; Chordata; Crocodylia; Alligatoridae
Exons: 2
Source: RefSeq, a predicted model, not a curated record
CAUGCCGAGCGCUCUGUUCCUGCCACCUGAAACUCUCCGUGCAAACCAUUUUGGGAACCGGAGGGACCCCCUUCCCCGGCCCCAGCAGGCGGGGGGGACGCCGGGGGCACUCUGGAGAAGAAGCAGAGACCCUGCCUCCAGGCCACAGCAUCCCUGCCAGUGUUUUUUGCCUCUCUUGCAUAACCUUUGACCCUCCCUGGAAUGAAGGAGCUGCAAAGCUGGGAUCAUCUGCGUUAAUCUGGUCUCAUUGAGGCAGGAUCAGUGGAACCACCUCGCAGAUUCACUGUAUUAUGGAGCAGAUUGAGGGACUUAGAGAGCAAAUUUAAUAAAUAUCAUUUCGAUAUUACUUGGUGGGGGGGGGGAAAAAAUCCUCUGAGCAGCUGAUGUCGGAGGCACCCUGUGCAGCUCAUCGCUAGCUACCACUUGCAGAUGGCGUCUUGUGCCCAGCUGCCCCCGGAGCAAUGCAGCAGAGGGAAAUCCUGUUGAUCGUGCCCGGGGAAAGCUCCCUUUGCAGAUGACCCAGGGGAGAAAGCGGCGGCCGUAGAAAUCUCCCUUUCUUGAGGCCAGUUUGGUUCACUGUACUCUAGGGCUGGGAGAGCCACCACCACCCCUCCAGCUUUUGCACGGAGGUGGCAACAUGGCCCCGAUCCUGCACCCUGUUUGAACUCUCCAAAGACAGCCUACCAAACUCGGCUCCAGCCUCUGCAAGACCUGGAGGGGAAGGUAUGGUGCUCAUCGCCUGCUUUGUCUCGGUCCCCGGCGGGACCCCCUCCCUGCCUGCUGGAAAAACACUUGGUUUCAAAUAAAUGUUUGACCUCCUGCUAA